This is a long non-coding RNA of Triticum aestivum (bread wheat), 1527 nucleotides long. RefSeq lists it as uncharacterized. The record is from RefSeq and is a predicted model, not a curated record. The transcript has 3 exons. NCBI's taxonomy places the organism in Eukaryota, Viridiplantae, Streptophyta, Magnoliopsida, Poales, Poaceae.
UAUAAAGCCAACCCAGCUCCAUAUAUUUCUACACUGUGCAUACAUACGCUCAUUUGGCAAUCGCUUUACCCAACUUUGGAGUUAUUUGACACCGCUGGUUACCGGUCACCACCUGCUGCAUGGCUCUAGAGAUAAUUCAUGGGCUUUGUCGAUCGUGGGAGAUGUGCCACCACCGAAGCCAAUACCACAUCCGUCACGAGAAGUGCACGCACAUCCAAAUGCACAUGAUCAGGUUAAUGUUUCUAUGCCACCUUUUAAUGGUCGUUUUAAGCCUGAUUUAUAUAUUGAAUGGGAGUUUGAAAUAAAUGCUAUAUUUGCUUCCCAUAAUUUGUGUGAACAUAAAAAAGUUAAGGUCGCUAUUGAUACAUUCACUGGUUUUGCUACUGUUUGGUGGAAUGAACAUUGUCAGUUAUACCCUGAUUAUAUACCUACUACUUGGGAUGAUUUAAAACUUGUCAUGAGAGAUAGAUUUGUCAAUGUUUAUUAUACUCAUGACAUGAUUAAAAAACUACAACAUUUAAAACAAGGUAGUGACACUGUAACUAUGUAUUAUGAUGAUUUACGAACUACCUUGUUGCACUCCUUUUUAGAUGAAAAUGAAGAUGAUUUUAUGGAUAGAUUUUGGGAAGGAUUAAACCGUAAUAUUUAAGAGAUACUAAUUCAUGAAGAGUGUUAUCCUAUGGACCGUUUCUUUCGUCUUGCUUGCAAAGCUGAACAGGAAAUAAAAUGGGGUGAUGUCCAUAAGGAGAAUAAGCGCAAGGUGCACAUUCCAAGAGAUGAUACGGUUGUUCCUUCAACUAAUAGGCGUACUAUGACAACCACAUCCGUUAUUGUGAGGACUACAUCACCUCCACCAUGUCAACAUCACCUCCGAGAGUGCCUGCAUCAUCUGAGUUGAUCAUAAGAGCCACAUUUCAGAUUAAGCAACGCCGAUGACGGCUUUGUUUUCAAGAAGGGGAGGAUGAUGAGGACAUAGCUACCAUAGUUACACCCACAUGCCCAAUUAUUAUACGUAUUGGAUCGAUUAGUAGAGCUCACGCAUGCCAGUUAUAUUAUCAGGUACUUUUGUUUCUUGGUAAUGUUUCUAAUGUUCAUGAGAAUAUGAUGCUGCCUAACUUAGAUACAUUUGUGUUGCUUACAAUUGAAAGGCCUACCUCAGACAAGAAGGAUGAACAUUGGAGCAUGAUCAAGCACAAAGAUGAAGGCGCGUGUGAAGAGAACAAGAAUGGAGGUUCCAGUGGAGAUUUCCGGACUUUGAAGCCACCAUGAUGACAUACAAAGAAGAUGGACGAAAUAUACAAGAUGGCCUUUCAUAAAUUUCAUCCAUAGAUUACCAUUGGUGUUGCGCCACCUUAUUUUUGGGCUAGGCCCAUGUAAUCUAUUUUUAGAGUCCGUAUUGUAGGGGAAAUGACUUAGGAGGGGUUUUAGUCCCACCUUGCCAUGGGUGGACGAACUCCCCUCUCUUUUCCCUAAAAAUAUAGCCCUUAAGGCUUAGACUUGGGUUUUAUUUAGUUAAAAGUUAGCCAU